GUGUUGUCUCUCUUUAUGUAGUGUUGUGUUGUCUCUCUCUUUAUGUAGUGUUGUGUUGUCUCUCUCUUUAUGUAGUGUUGUGUUGUCUCUCUCUUUAUGUAGUGUUGUGGUGUCUCGCUUUAUGUAGUGUUGUGGUGUCUCUCUUUAUGUAGUGUUGUGGUGUCUCUCUUUAUGUAGUGUUGUGGUGUCUCUCUCUUUAUGUAGUGUUGUGUUGUCUCUCUUUAUUGUUGUGGUGUCUCUCUUUAUGUAGUGUUGUGGUGUCUCUCUUUAUGUAGUGUUGUGGUGUCUCUCUGUAUUGUUGUGGUGUCUCUCUUUAUGUAGUGUUGUGGUGUCUCUCUUUAUGUAGUGUUGUGGUGUCUCUCUCUUUAUGUAGUGUUGUGUUGUCUCUCUUUAUGUAGUGUUGUGGUGUCUCUCUCUUUA
This 420-nucleotide long non-coding RNA is filed under the name Salmo salar (Atlantic salmon). RNAcentral describes it as "lncRNA (ENSSSAG00000107101.1)". Lineage: Eukaryota; Metazoa; Chordata; Actinopteri; Salmoniformes; Salmonidae. The record is from RNAcentral.